GCGAUUAUGAGCCGUUUCCGACGAUCAAACCUGUCUUUGCGUUGUAGCACAUGCCUAAGAGAUCCAUUAACCAUGAACUCGGUUACGGUAGCUAGUGUAGCACCGGGUCCAUCUUGUACGACCCCAUAGAAAGCAACCACAUUUGGAUGGUGAAGUUGUGAUAGAAUCUCGGCUUCACGCCAAAAUUCGUUUGUCAAUCUCUCCUGCUCAGACGAUCGGCCUGUAAAACAGCUCUUUUUGAUUCGCUUGAUAGCCACAUCAGUGCCCCU
RNAcentral lists this unclassified non-coding RNA (269 nucleotides) under Hevea brasiliensis (rubber tree). The record is from RNAcentral. Lineage: Eukaryota; Viridiplantae; Streptophyta; Magnoliopsida; Malpighiales; Euphorbiaceae.